Molecule: long non-coding RNA, 594 nt
Organism: Amblyraja radiata (thorny skate)
Lineage: Eukaryota; Metazoa; Chordata; Chondrichthyes; Rajiformes; Rajidae
Exons: 2
Source: RefSeq, a predicted model, not a curated record
GAGAGGCGAUCUCAGGGACCUGUAAGGGGUUUCUAUUUAAAACAUCAACAAUUUGACUUUGAAGAUAAACCUCUCGACCGCCAGCUGUGUAAUUGAAUGAAACAUUCAUUGUGUGUUUAUAUUCUCAAUGCGGAUAGGACUUGAACUAUAACACCAAUUAUAGCGCCGGAUUGGAGCAACGUUAAAUAGUUCACAGGCCCAACACAAUCCUCUCUCCGUCCAGAUACCAAUUACACAACAACAUCUCAGUCUGAAGAAGGGUCUCGACUCUAAACGUCACCCAUUACUUCUAUCCAGAGAUGCUGCCUGUCCCGCUGAGUUACUCCAAUAUUCUGUGUUUAUUUCACAUCCCUUGCAGCUUACAAAACAAUUUAGGUUUUCAGGAAGAUCAUUCCGGUUUAUACUUCCUCCUAGAUCUAGUUCCGGAUGACCAUGAUGAUCCUGAGAGUAAAGCUAUUGAUUGUCCGGGCGGUCAGUUCCCGAUGGACGGUGGCGCCGAUGACCUUCUGAUGCUAACAGUUGCCGGCGGUGACGUGGACAUUGGUGGUGAAUCUAGCAUGAUACCUUGUUUCCAAAGCCUGUCUUGAAAUGAUG